This 308-nucleotide unclassified non-coding RNA is filed under the name Hevea brasiliensis (rubber tree). Lineage: Eukaryota; Viridiplantae; Streptophyta; Magnoliopsida; Malpighiales; Euphorbiaceae. The record is from RNAcentral.
UUCUGGAAUGCCCCAAUUACAAGUACCAACUGCAAUAAGAUGACAGCCCUGUUGACAGAAUAACUGCCCUCCUUUUCCCUUCAACCCCUAUUCUUGAAUCCCCCCCUAUUCUACCUUCCUCCAUACCAUCUCAAUAUCUCAUCCCAUCUCCUUAUUAGUCAUAACAAAGGCCAGCGUAAGAUAGAAAUGGCGUGUAAACAUAGAAAUGGCAUGUAAACACUGAAGUGAUCUAGUUUAAUUGUGAAUUGUAUUACAUAAUUUAUACUGCCCUGGGUCCCUGGCUUAACCAUUUGUUCUGUAUUAUCAUG